RNAcentral lists this signal recognition particle RNA (317 nucleotides) under Candidatus Caldarchaeum sp. Its description in RNAcentral is "signal recognition particle sRNA". It matches the Rfam family "Archaeal signal recognition particle RNA". Lineage: Archaea; Thermoproteati; Nitrososphaerota; Candidatus Caldarchaeales; Candidatus Caldarchaeaceae. The record is from RNAcentral.
CGGCGGGAAAGGCCGGGGAGCCAGCCCUUCCCUCCACCCGAGACGGGCUUCAUGCGGGGGCCGGACAACCCGCGGGGGCGCGUGAGGCCCUCCGGUUCCUCGGAUGCGUGGAAGCGAUGAGGAUACGCCGGAUGGGGGCGCCGUAGACGGGCAAAGCCUUCGUAGGAAGGCUCCAAACCGUCGAAUGCGUCGAACCGUGUCAGGCCCGGGAGGGAGCAGCACUAAGAUGCAGCGGCGCAGCCCACCCACAAGCGUGUUCAAGCAUUCCACCCAUCCGAAGACCGGGUUCGGGCCCUCGCCACCCCGGGGAGCCGCCG